Long non-coding RNA from Equus asinus (donkey), 2357 nucleotides. Lineage: Eukaryota; Metazoa; Chordata; Mammalia; Perissodactyla; Equidae. The record is from Ensembl.
AUUAUGCAGGGCUAGCCAAAGGAGCCUAAACCAUGUAGGACAAAAUUGCAAAGAUAUAGACAUUAUUAUUUUUAACUUUUGUUUUAGUUUGUCAUCUAUAUCUGGGCUUUUUAUGCUCAGGAAAAACGUGGAACUCACUAUGAAAUGCAGAAUCUCUGCAAAUCAGUCCCGAGAGCCCCCACGAUCCUUCACUGAAGUCAAGGAAUCGAACACUCAGCUCGUAGAGCGGAUUGCUCAUUCCUCGCAGCUGAUAUCACAUGGGGGCCUACACUGGUCUGGAGUAAAGAGAAAUAAAUCGGAAACUUGCGAUAACUCUAGAACCAUGGUCCUUAAAGUACGGCUCCCCAACCAGCACCAUCAGUUUCACCUGGGAACUUGUUAGAAAUGCAGUUUCUCAGAACCCAGCCCAGACCUGCUCUGUCAGAAGCUCUAGGGGUGCCUCGUAUUCUCCAUUUAGCAAGUUCUCCAGUUGAUUCUGCUGCAGGCUGAACUUUGAGAACCACUGCUCUGGAUAAGAUUGAAGGCAAUUCCCGAAAGCUGAAGAGAGAUCACCAUAGACAUGUGGCAUCAUCUGUAUAUCCUCUAGUAGAAAGCAGGAGCCGCACUCCCCAGGUCUAGAACCGGAAGUGCGCCUCAUUAUGAAAUGAGCCACAUUUGAAGCUUUGCAAAGAUACGUGCAAGGCCCUAGACCAAGAAUCAGCAGCAUUGGCUGAGGGUUUCACAUCUUCUGAUUAUCUUUUGCUACAAACGUGGUUAUUUAUGUACUCCCAAUUACAAUCUUGUAAUUUUACCUUCCAUAGGGAAUAUCGCACUAAGCCAGUCAUUUAGACCACAAGAAAUUAAAAAAUUAAAUCAAGCUAGGAAAUCCUGGGUACAAAUUUUGUCCAUUGUGGCACUUUAUAGGUGGCCAGCUCAAGUGGUAGAUAUCUUACUCUCUGAAGUUCACCCCUCUCUCAUCCCUAUGGCAGCUCAACUUUCUAUUAGAUUCCAAUUCUUGAGAAAACAAAGCCAGCCUUUCUGCCUCAUUUUUGGGGCACAAUCCUAGAGUGAAGAUAAAAUCAUUUUCCAUAUCACUUCCUAACACCCCAGUGUGGGCAGAGGAGAGUAGGGCUUUAAGGGUAGAAAAGCAAAAGUAGGAUCUUCUUGGCAAGAAGAGAAAAAUACAUAAACCUGUUGGAAAAUAAAACAAAAACUUCUCACCCAUCAAAUGACCACUCCAUCCAGCAACAGAGUUUAAAAUACUUCGAAGAGCCAUACUACGUUGGAAACAGUAAACUCUGGAUUCAAAUAUACUGUUGGUAUUCAGAGUCUCAGAACAAUCCUCAAGUCCCAGCUUUGCUCCACUUAUGCUCAUAUUUUCAAAUGAUUAUUUUUGUGCUGAAGGAAAUACCUGUAGGACUCAAAGUUACUUUGGAGACAUAUAGAAAAUAAGAUUUAUGCGUGAGCGUUCAGAAGAAAUGAAAGCAUUUACACGGGCCGUCUUCCAGCCAGUCUGGUUUCUUUGGGAAGAAGAGCAAUUAAAAACUUGACACACUAUCAAAAAAUGAUGCAAUGGAAAUUAAAUUGCAUGGAUUUUCGAUGGACAAAAGGAUUCAGUGCAAAGUAUGUUUUAAAGAACAACAUCUAAAUACAAUGAUGGCAUAUUUACUCACUGAAUCGAAUGUUAAGGUGCUCUCGGAUGAGAUUAACAUUGAAAUGGGUAGACUGAGUAAGGCAGAUUGCUCUUCCUAAUGGGAGCGGCCCUAUGGGAGCAGCUGAAGGCCUGAACAGAACAAAAGGCUGAUCCCCCUUCCCCAUCCCACAGUGAGUUAGGAUUCCUGCUGCCUGACUGCCUGUGAACUGGGACCGCAUUUUUUCCUGCCUUCCGACCUAAAUGGAAGUGUCAGCUCAGCCUGGGCCUCAAGCCUGCCAGCUGUGGACUGGACCUACAGCCCUGGCUCCUGGGGCUGGGGUCUUUGGACUCGGACUGGAACCGAACCAGCAGCUCUCCUGGGUCUGCAGCGUGACAAAUCUUCGAACUUGUCAGCCUCCAAAAUUGCAUGAGCCCGUUCUUUAUUCUCAUUCUCUCUCUCAGUUCUGUUUCUCGGGAGAACCCUGACUAAUACAAAUCUUAUAUUGGUGGUCUGUAAAAUAGAGAUAAUAUUCUUUGCUCUGCCUAUCUGACAAAGAGUCUGGGUAAGCCCCGAGUCCACCAAGUCCAUUGUAAACAUCCAGAAUGGCAGGUAGGAUGGUGUCGAAUAACAUUACCGUCCCCUCAGCGAUUGCUGAAAAUCCGUUUCUGCUAUGGUUGGAGCAGGGACUGGUUUGGGAAUCUCGGCUACCCCCCAGUCAUCUCUUCCUUACUAAAAAAGGUCCAU